Molecule: non-coding RNA, 58 nt
Organism: Rattus norvegicus (Norway rat)
Lineage: Eukaryota; Metazoa; Chordata; Mammalia; Rodentia; Muridae
Source: Rfam
UGGCUCAGUGGUUAAGAGCACUGGCUGCUCUUCCAGAGGUCCUGGGUUCAAUUCCCAG